RNAcentral lists this ribosomal RNA (111 nucleotides) under Peltigera collina. RNAcentral's name for it is "partial 18S ribosomal RNA". The record is from RNAcentral. Lineage: Eukaryota; Fungi; Ascomycota; Lecanoromycetes; Peltigerales; Peltigeraceae.
AUGAGGGCGUGUGGGCUUAACAUCCCUGCGAACCCUAACCCUUUGUUUACUGCCCCCUUGUGGUUUACUUGGGCGCGGUUUUUCAGGCUAAAUUGCAACAUUUUUGGUCUG